UGGGGAAUUUUGGACAAUGGGCGAAAGCCUGAUCCAGCAAUGCCGCGUGUGUGAAGAAGGCCUUCGGGUUGUAAAGCACUUUUGUCCGGAAAGAAAUCCUUGGCUCUAAUACAGUCGGGGGAUGACGGUACCGGAAGAAUAAGCACCGGCUAACUACGUGCCAGCAGCCGCGGUAAUACGUAGGGUGCAAGCGUUAAUCGGAAUUACUGGGCGUAAAGCGUGCGCAGGCGGUUUGCUAAGACCGAUGUGAAAUCCCCGGGCUCAACCUGGGAACUGCAUUGGUGACUGGCAGGCUAGAGUAUGGCAGAGGGGGGUAGAAUUCCACGUGUAGCAGCGAAAUGCGUAGAGAUGUGGAGGAAUACCGAUGGCGAAGGCAGCCCCCUGGGCCAAUACUGACGCUCAUGCACGAAAGCGUGGGGAGCAAACAGGAUUAGAUACCCUGGUAGUCCACGCCCUAAAACGAUGUCAACUAGUUGUUGGGGAUUCAUUUCCUUAGCAACGUAGCUAACGCGUGAAGUUGACCGCCUGGGGAGUACGGUCGCAAGAUUAAAACUCAAAUGAAUUGACGGGGUCAUAGCUGUUUCCU
RNAcentral lists this ribosomal RNA (586 nucleotides) under uncultured bacterium. Its description in RNAcentral is "partial 16S ribosomal RNA". It matches the Rfam family "Bacterial small subunit ribosomal RNA", at positions 355 to 1375 of the family's 1533-position model. The record is from RNAcentral.